RNAcentral lists this ribosomal RNA (404 nucleotides) under Actinomycetes bacterium. RNAcentral's name for it is "Actinobacteria bacterium partial 16S ribosomal RNA". It matches the Rfam family "Bacterial small subunit ribosomal RNA", at positions 355 to 776 of the family's 1533-position model. The record is from RNAcentral. Lineage: Bacteria; Bacillati; Actinomycetota; Actinomycetes.
UGGGGAAUAUUGGACAAUGGGCGCAAGCCUGAUCCAGCCAUGCCGCGUGAGUGAUGAAGGCCCUAGGGUUGUAAGGCUCUUUCACCGGUGAAGAUAAUGACGGUAACCGGAGAAGAAGCCCCGGCUAACUUCGUGCCAGCAGCCGCGGUAAUACGAAGGGGGCUAGCGUUGUUCGGAUUUACUGGGCGUAAAGCGCACGUAGGCGGACUAUUAAGUCAGGGGUGAAAUCCCGGGGCUCAACCCCGGAACUGCCUUUGAUACUGGUAGUCUUGAGUUCGAGAGAGGUGAGUGGAAUUCCGAGUGUAGAGGUGAAAUUCGUAGAUAUUCGGAGGAACACCAGUGGCGAAGGCGGCUCACUGGCUCGAUACUGACGCUGAGGUGCGAAAGCGUGGGGAGCAAACAGG